AUUGAACGCUGGCGGCAGGCCUAACACAUGCAAGUCGAGCGGAUGAAGGGAGCUUGCUCCUGGAUUUAGCGGCGGACGGGUGAGUAAUGCCUAGGAAUCUGCCUGGUAGCGGGGGAUAACGUCCGGAAACGGGCGCUAAUACCGCAUACGUCCUGAGGGAGAAAGUGGGGGAUCUUCGGACCUCACGCUAUCAGAUGAGCCUAGGUCGGAUUAGCUAGUUGGUGGGGUAAAGGCCUACCAAGGCGACGAUCCGUAACUGGUCUGAGAGGAUGAUCAGUCACACUGGAACUGAGACACGGUCCAGACUCCUACGGGAGGCAGCAGUGGGGAAUAUUGGACAAUGGGCGAAAGCCUGAUCCAGCCAUGCCGCGUGUGUGAAGAAGGUCUUCGGAUUGUAAAGCACUUUAAGUUGGGAGGAAGGGCAGUAAGUUAAUACCUUGCUGUUUUGACGUUACCAACAGAAUAAGCACCGGCUAACUUCGUG
Molecule: ribosomal RNA, 484 nt
Filed under: uncultured bacterium
Lineage: Bacteria
Description: partial 16S ribosomal RNA
Rfam family: Bacterial small subunit ribosomal RNA
Source: RNAcentral